UGUGAAAUGGUUCAUUGUGUUAAAUGUUUUAUUGUACAAAUUAGUGGUGAUGGAUGACAGGGUUAGUGAGUCUGUCUCAUCUCUCGUCAAUCUUCAUAGUUACUCCAACAUAGCACUAAACAUGCUUGAGUAUUAUGAAGAUUUUAAUGAUCAUUUCAUGUUGGCCAUAAGAAAAAUCCUGUCAUCUUUUGAGAACUUUGUUCGACAUUGUUGAAGUGUUGAAGAAAAUUGAGUCACUGGAUGUGAUUGUGAUUAAAUUUAAUCCAAUAUUCACAUCUAGUUUCAUUCAAACAUCCCAGUUUCUUAAAAACAAAAAUUGUAUUAUAAAUGUCAAAAAUCUGUCUGAUGAAAAAUGCUUUUUAUGGUCGGUCCUUGCAUAUUUCCAUCAGAAACCAAAGAACUCGUGCUUGACUGUCAAGUAUUUGAGCAAGUUUGCUCACUCACUUAAUACGCGAGGUGUAAAUUUUCCGGUGAUGACUCGCGAUAUUAAGAAAUUUGAAAUACUGAAUCCGGAUAUUGCAAUUCACGUCAUCGCGUAUGACAACAAAAAGUUCUUCACCUACCGCACAAGCAUUUUCUGCACUCGUAAACACCAAAUUAAUCUUUUAAUGUUGAAAGCCGAUGCAGGAAAAACACAUUUUUGUUUAAUUAAUACCGCAAAUGGGAAAAAUGGAUUAUUGUGCCUUCUCUCUCACCUUUCAAAACACGAUGGUCAAGUACAUGUUUGUAAUUUCUGUUUUCAUAGAUUUACAUCGACCGAAUCCAAAAAUUGUGAUGGGAAAGCAAAUUUGAUGAAACAUGAGCAGCUUUGUUCCAAGUUUGAAUCACAGCGCAUUCCAUAUCCUAAACGCGGAGACACAAUUAAAUUUAAGAAACUAGGCAUGAUGUUGAAGAAAAAGUAUACAAUCUACGCAGCUUUAGGAACUUACGUUGUUAAUAUCGAUAAUAAUGAUGAUGAUGAUGAUGAAUCCGAUUCCGAUAAAUUACUCAUAGCUAUACAAAGAAAACAGCGUGACAUAUUCCCUGUGGGUAUUGUUUUGUUGUUAUCGAUGUGAACGGGGAAAUCGCUCACGGACCUGUACUCCAUAGAUUGAGUAAUUUAGAUGAAAAAAUCAUGGAGAAAUUUCUUCAGGAAAUUACAGAUCUCGGUGACAUUUUGUAUGAGGAUAUGAAAUGCGAAAUUCCGAUUCAACAUUUAUCCAAAAGUCAAGAACAUGAAUUUCAAAAUUUGGUAAACUGUGGGCUUUACCCCGAACCGUUUUUAGACACUGAUAUUAAAUGUCAUCACCAGGCGCAUGAAACCAGAAAUUACCUAUGUGCAGCCCACGUUUCUUGUAAUUUAUCAGCUCGUACUCCGGAGUACAUUUUGUGUUAUUUUCACAAUUUCUCUGGGUUUGAUUCCCAUUUCAUUCUGAAAGCGCUCGGUAAAUGUGAAAAAGAAAUUUCCUGCAUUGCGAAUAUGUCAGAGAGAUUUUUGACACUUUCAGUAGGCAAAAUUAAAUUUUUAGAUUCCUACAAGUUUAUGAACGAAUCCUUGGAAGUAUUGGUGCAUAAUUUGGUAGAGAGUACAGACAUGAAAAAGAAGUUCAAACGUUUAUUUCCAGUGUUUCAUGACCCACCACGCGAACACAGACAUCUCUUGUUGAAAAAAGGAAUAUAUCCUUACUCAUACAUGAGUUGUCCCGAAAAAUUCACAGAAACAUCACUUCCUCCUAUCGAAUGUUUUCAUAAUGAUUUAACUGAUACACCUCUGUCUCACGAAGAAUAUGAGCAUGCGCAAAGAGUGUUCUCGACAUUCAAACUGAAAUCUCUUGGUGAAUAUCAUGAUCUCUAGAACAGUAUGGUCGAAAUUGAAAAACUUGGGUAUUGGAAAAUCACAUGUUCAUCAUAAUAUACCUUUCAAUUUAGAUGAUAUCAAUGAUAACUUUACUGAUAAUCCUGUUGACCUGUCCGGUGCUCAUGACCACUUGAACAGGCUAAGAGGGGCGCCUCGUGUAUCUCCUGCUCAGCAGCUCUCCUUUUCUCCUGUGACUGAAGCUGAUGUGAUGAGGAUAAUCAUGGGUAUUACAAGCAAUGCAGUUGGAGUUGAUUGCAUACCUAUCAAAUUCAUUCAAGAUACUCUUCCCUUCACCUUGCCUAUUCUUACAAUAAUUUUCAAUAAAUCUUUGGAAUCAUCCUUUUUCCCCUCAAUUUGGAAAUCAGCCUUAGUCUCACCUCUGCCAAAAUGCUCUUCAGUUAAAUCAUUAUCAGAUUUGAGGCCUAUCAGUAUUCUCCCAGCUCUGUCUAAAUGUCUCGAGAAACUUGUUCAUCAGCAGUUUUCUGUUUUUCUAGAACGUUUCCAUCUUCUGUCUACCUUUCAGUCUGGGUUCUGCACAUGUCACAGUACGACCACUGCUCUGCUCAAAGUUACUGAGGAUAUCAGGUCAGCUAUGGAUAGUAGUCAGGGUACUAUUCUGACACUAUUCGAUUUUUUCAAAGGCAUUCGACUGUGUUCAUCAUCCACUCCUUCUGAAAUUAAGACAUCUUGGUCUUGAAGAGGGUUGUGUAAAAUGGAUCGAGUCUUAUUUGUCGAAUCGCCAACAGUGUGUCAGGGCCAAUAAUGAGGUCUCUUCAUGGAGAAAUGUAAUCCAAGGAGUCCCCCAAGGCUCUGUUCUUGGGCCUCUUCUGUUCUCUCUCUACAUCGAUGACAUCGCAAAAUGCAUAAAACACUGCAAAUUUCAUCUGUAUGCUGAUGAUCUUCAGAUCUAUAUACAUUUUUCUGCAGGUUAGUCUGAUGCAUGUGUCGAGCAGAUGAAUUUUGAUAUUGAUGCUAUUAGUGGCUGGGCAUAUAAUCAUGCAUUGAGAUUGAAUGAAGGUAAGACACAGAGUAUCAUUGUGACUCAUAACCGAUUCAGAGCUCAGAAUGUUCCAAGGUUGAGGUUGAAUGGCAUUGAGUUGGAGUAUUCCGAGAGUGUUAAAAACCUUGGUCUUGUUAUCUCUAAAACACUCUCAUGGCUCAAUCAGGUUGAGAUUGUUUGUAAGAGGGUGUUUGCUUGCAUCCAUAGCUUGAAACGAUUUGCCCUGUUUCUUCCACUCAAUAUCAAGAUCAUGCUGGUCAAGACUCUUGUGCUGCCUCACUUCAGCUACUGCGACACUGUCAUGAACGACUGUUGAGCUCUCUAACCAACUGCAGCUUACACAGAACUAUUGUAUUCGAUUUAUUUUCAAUGCUAGACGAUUUGAUCAUGUUACACCUUUUUAUGUACAACUAUCUCUCCUAAAAUUGAAUGAUCUUCGUACUUUGCACAUAUUGACUCUGCUUCACUCAAUAAUCAAAACCAAAUCUCCAUCUCAUCUGUCUGAGAGCUUCAGAUUUCUGUCUGAGAUUGGUGAACGUGCAACAAGGCAUGGCAACUUGCUGCUAGCUUUUCCCAUUCAUAGAACGAUGACUUUUGAGAGAUCAUUUACUGUCACUGGUUGUAGGCUGUGGAAUGAUCUUCCUGCUUCUGUCCGGGCCAUUGAUGGGCGUGCUUGCUUUGGGGUGGAGGUCAAGCGGAUUUUGUUGGCGGGUCUGCAGGGGUAGCGUGUGGUUGGCGCUUGGAACUGGUCUGGUGGGCUGUGUGAAUGUUGUGUGAAUGAUUAUAUUAAUAAUUCCUUUUUUUAUACUAUUGUUUCUUGAAUUAUAUCAUUGAUUUUUUAGUCUAAAUGCAGAUUGACUGUUUUGUUUCAACUAUGUUUCUAUUUUGUACCUAUAUUAUUUGAUGUAUUUUUAUUUAUAUAUUAAGUUACACUGUAUUUUUUUUUAUUCAAUUGCAUUUGUUAUGUUGAGGUUGAGUGGUAGAGAGGACUUAAAAGUCCUAACUCCGCCUAAUAAAGAAUUUUUUCAUUUCAUUACUAUUUAUGUUUGGAUGUGUUACUAUUAGCAGAAGUUUUUGAAUCUAUGAGGUCUAUGCUUUUUAGCUUAUACGGCCUUGAUGUCACUCAUUUUGUUUCCCUCGCACACUUUACCUGGAAUUGUUGAAGUACACUAAGGUCGAACUAGAGUUAAUCACACAUCCUGACAUGCAUCUCAUGUUUGAGGCGGGGAUGAGGGGCGGGGUCUCAUUUAUCGGUAAACGUUAUUGUGAGGCGAAUAACAAGCAUCUACCUGAGACAUACAACCCCUCAAAACCGAGUAAUUAUCUCCUUUAUAUUGAUGCGACUGAUUUCAACAUAACUUUAAUGUUCCUACACAUUUAAGUCUAUUGUUCAAUUAGAUUGUCCUAUUGUCCAAAUGAGUCUCACAUUUAUUGUCCAAUUGAAGAUACAUCAUAAUUGAGAGAGAUAUUAGGGUGAAGAGUUCUGACUGAGGCCUGUAGCUGAAUUAUGCCUCCUGAUUGAACGUCUAGCACUUUGAAGCACUGACAUGUUAAACGUCUGAAGUCCCUAUGUCAAACGUAUAUAUUGCAUCAGAAUAAGUGCUUGACGUUCAAUUAGGUGUUUUUAUUCAGCUUAAGACCUUGGUUACAGAUUUUUUCAAUAAAACCUCUUAAAUCACCUAGUUAAAUAAGUAUCAAUGUUGUUAUAAUUUGAAUUUUUUUAGGAAACAGCUCUGAAAGAGACAUUUUUCAAAUUUUCCAUAAUAAUUCAUAAUAAAGUUAUCGUAAAGGUCACGUCCAAUGUGUGACAGUCAAUGAGCAACAGUAGGAAAAAAUAGUCCAAUGUGCAACGGUAUCCCUGGUGAAGGCCUCCAUUGUUAAGAAGAACAACGAGGGAAGUAUACAUAGAUAGCCUGAAAUAAUGGAGCUGUUAUCAAACACCUUUUUAUUUUAUCAAAACACGAUUAGCUUCAACUCAUUAGAGCCAUUUUCAAUAAUAAAUAAAAUAAACCACAAAGCAUAAUUGUUAGUUUAUGUUCAAAUGAUAAUUAACAGUAUGAAUUAGCUUUUUGCUCUGAAAUAUGUUUCAAUAUUGACCUGCAAUACGAUAAUAUUGAUGAUAAUGAUGGAAUCAGUACCUAGCAUCUCCCAUAAAAAAGUAAUCAGGUGUUACACAAAGAUGAAACAGUUUUUAGCUUUCUUUUGAACUGUUCAAAUUAAUUUUCAUUUCAUAUUAUUUUUUGUAAAAAUAAAUUGGAAUUCACAGUUUCAAGAAGUUUUAUCGAUCAUCUGCAUAUUUCUUCACGUGAAUAACACAUGAAGACACGCAACACUACUGCAAAUAAGUAUUUUUCAGAUAUCAAAGAGAGCGCUGAAAAGAAUGAAGUGUAGUACGAUGAGAUCCGAGCAUUGUGUCGAAAGUUAUGAGUGUUUGAAAUUUCGAUCCUUGAGGUGUCCUUAUGCGCAUCUCUCCUCUGUCCUUAUGCACAGAGGAGUCCUUAGGAGGUGUCCUUAUGCGCAUACUGGAAUGAAGUGCAUCUAACGGGUGAUUCUCAUAGAACAUAAUCUCAUGAACUUAUAUCAUUGUGCGAAAUAUCAAUGUGACGACAAUAUUUAGUCAGUGAUGAUGGUUGAAGCUAAAAAUUAGGUGUUUCACACAAUACAAGGAGCAUUGUUGUCAGGUGUAGGCUACCUGGAAAUCUAUAUGAAAUAGAGCGCUCUAGCUGAACUCAGAUUAUAGAGCACAAAAAUACGCCCAGAAGGAUUUUGAAUAAUACAUCUAAAUGGUAACAAUCUGAAGAUAUUGUUGAUUAAAAACUAUAAUUCGUCGAAACUUAUUUUUUUCUUUAAAUUCCACUCAUUUUCGAAAAAUCAUAAUUCAGUACUUAUUCAGAAUCUUUCAAUCUAAAAAAUAGGCGAGAGAAAAUUCUUCUGUCCAAUUAAUGGAUAAAGCUGGGUAUUCGUUUGUGCGUAAAUGCCGUUGUCGACCACGACAGGCUGAGGAUCUCAGACUGGAUGGAUUUCACUUUUUCUUCAUAACCUUUAAGAUUAUGUUCAAUAAUUAUGUUUCAAUUUGGGAGGUUGAGUUUAUACUUUAAAUGGCAAUAUGUUGAUAUUAUUAGAAAUGUUUCGAUUUUAAAAAAUAAUAAACACAAAUCAUGAAAAGUUAUUUGAUCAGCUAUUUUAGCACACUUGAAAUUUGGACAAUAUGAAUGUCAACAAUGCUUGUCGAAACUAAUCUCGAAUAUACUUUUGAAUAUAGCCCAGUCAACGAAGUGUUAUAGAGGGAAAAGUUUGGAAGACAAUUCUUGACCCCGCAGUUCUGUUUAGGGUAGUGAGGAGGUAAAAACAUAUCAAAAGUCCCCACCCCUACCUCCUGUGCUAACUGCAACCAAUAUGACUAGCUAUUCAGAAAUAAAGCUUGAUAAAUUCUCUACAAUAUUUGUUCUUUGAUGAUUUGUGAUAUCUCCAACAGUUUUCGAGAUAUACGCUCACCCCCAACUGGUCUCAACAAAGCUGCGAAGUCAAAAGUUGUGUUUAAAACAUUCUUUCCAAACUCCUCUAUUAAUUGGUCUAUUUUUGCGUAACUGAAGAUCUCACACUCAACACUGAAGCAGUCGUGGGGAUGUGUGUAAACUUGUGAAAUUAUACAUCAAAUUGAAGAGAAUUUGAUGCUCUAUAAGCUCAUGAUCAGCAUGGAUUUUUCCCAUCAAUAUUCAAAAAGUUAUAAGAGCAAAAAAUUGAAUGAAAAUGUGUUUUUUUCAAAAAUGUCAUAUCUUUUAGAACGGAUAUCUCGGAAAUUGGAAGAGAUAUAGAAAAAGUUUCGAGAUCAAUAUUGUAGGAAAUUAUGUGAGCUUUAAUUUCUUAUAGAAUAGUCAUGUCUGGAAAAUGCAUAAUUUUCGAGUUGUAUGUGAGAAACCAAAAAAUGGUACCUUUGAACAACCCCCACCCUCUUAGCACAGUGGUUAGGGGUGGGGACUUUUGAUAUGUCUACCUCCUCACCACCCUAAACAGAACUGCGGGGUCAAAAAUUGUCUUCCAAAAUUUUCCCUCUAUACCCUUUUUUGAGCAUUCAUUGCCUGGACUAAUAACUAUGUGAUAACUAUGACAUUUGCCUGUCGUUACUUUGUAUCUGAGACAAAGAGAUCUCUAAGAGAGUAUCUCAAUGCUUGUCGUCUUCGACUGCAGAAGUUUACGCACAAAUGAAAACGCACUUUAAGGGUAGGUAAUGAUUAAACGAUGACGGUUCGUUUACUCAUAAAAUUGAAGAGGUUAUGUGGGCAAAAUCAUACAAAAGAAAUCCAACACAUUGUGAUGAAACAAGAAUCUCAUGAAUGGAUUAAUUAUAAUGUUUAUAUUAGCCCACUAGUAUUAAUAAUUUAAGAAUAGAAAUUAUCAUAAUUUUAGAAUAGAAAUUGUAAUCACAAUUUUAAAGUGAAAUACAUAUGCAUAAUUUUCCUACUUAUCAAUUAGGAAUUAAAACGUUUCUAGUGAUAACAAUCUUAAAAGGACAGUCCAAAUUAAGAUAUGCAUUUCGAUCCGAACCUCCAGUGACGAGAAUAAAAGUACUAACUAGACUAGAUCAUGGUUGUUCUCAAAAGGUUAUAUCGAUACAUGUUUCAGUGCAUUUGAAUGAUCAGAAUACUAAAUACUGCUCAAUUAUAAACUUCUUACUAAGUUACUCACUUUUCUAAUUGGCUUGUGCUACAUACUAUUAACUCGCCUCCUACAGGAGAAAAUGCAUAAUUUUACUUUUCCAAAUAAAACAUAAUCACUAUAGCCUACUAAAUUACACUAUAAUCUGAUUUUGUCCAUUAGGUACUUUGAUUCCAGGUGAAUCUAUUUUACUGCAUCAUAAAAGCGGAAGAAGGAGGUGAAAAUCAACUUGCCGACUGUUUAGCUGUGGUAAAAGCUAUCAAAUCCAUGAAUCCAGGAACCUAUUCAAUUAUCAAGAACUUCUCUGUCAUAGUAUGGUCGGACCCAUUCACCAAGGAAGGUCGCAGUUAUCAAAGCAUUCAUUUUACUCCUAUUAUAAAGACAAAUUCUGACAUUUUACAACAUUCUACAGGCACAUAGAAGACUGGCUUAUGAUGGCGAAAGACUUUUGAAGGCGGUUACCUUGAUUGGGAUCAUAUCUAUUAAACCUUCGAAUCCUGCACUCAAAAGUAAAUGUGAUACCAUUCAAAUGGAAUAAGAUUGAUUUGAACUGGAAUUAUGAAAUUAAAAUGUUAUUCCCGUAUCAUAGUGCAUUUUUCUACUAGUUACCCUAAGUAUUGUACAUUAUUAUAAUGAAGCACUAGCUGUUCCAUAAUUGAAAGUCUUCGAAAUAAAAGGUUUCUUUUUCAA
Molecule: long non-coding RNA, 8183 nt
Filed under: Nilaparvata lugens (brown planthopper)
Lineage: Eukaryota; Metazoa; Arthropoda; Insecta; Hemiptera; Delphacidae
Description: uncharacterized LOC120350439, transcript variant X2
Source: RNAcentral